RNAcentral lists this ribosomal RNA (533 nucleotides) under Vibrio sp. RNAcentral describes it as "bacterial SSU rRNA". It matches the Rfam family "Bacterial small subunit ribosomal RNA", at positions 378 to 903 of the family's 1533-position model. Lineage: Bacteria; Pseudomonadati; Pseudomonadota; Gammaproteobacteria; Vibrionales; Vibrionaceae. The record is from RNAcentral.
GCAGCCUGAUGCAGCCAUGCCGCGUGUGUGAAGAAGGCCUUCGGGUUGUAAAGCACUUUCAGCAGUGAGGAAGGGUAAUGCGUUAAUACCUCAUUAUCUUGACGUUAGCUGCAGAAGAAGCACCGGCUAACUCCGUGCCAGCAGCCGCGGUAAUACGGAGGGUGCGAGCGUUAAUCGGAAUUACUGGGCGUAAAGCGCAUGCAGGCGGUUUGUUAAGCAAGAUGUGAAAGCCCCGGGCUCAACCUGGGAACCGCAUUUUGAACUGGCAGGCUAGAGUCUUGUAGAGGGGGGUAGAAUUUCAGGUGUAGCGGUGAAAUGCGUAGAGAUCUGAAGGAAUACCGGUGGCGAAGGCGGCCCCCUGGACAAAGACUGACGCUCAGAUGCGAAAGCGUGGGGAGCAAACAGGAUUAGAUACCCUGGUAGUCCACGCUGUAAACGAUGUCUACUUGGAGGUUGCGGUCUUGAACUGUGGCUUUCGGAGCUAACGCGUUAAGUAGACCGCCUGGGGAGUACGGUCGCAAGAUUAAAACUCA